Molecule: ribosomal RNA, 756 nt
Filed under: Halomonas sp. K2-28-012
Lineage: Bacteria; Pseudomonadati; Pseudomonadota; Gammaproteobacteria; Oceanospirillales; Halomonadaceae
Description: bacterial SSU rRNA
Rfam family: Bacterial small subunit ribosomal RNA
Source: RNAcentral
CGAGCGGUAACAGAUCUAGCUUGCUGGAUGCUGACGAGCGGCGGACGGGUGAGUAAUGCAUAGGAAUCUGCCCGAUAGUGGGGGAUAACCUGGGGAAACCCAGGCUAAUACCGCAUACGUCCUACGGGAGAAAGGGGGCUCCGGCUCCCGCUAUGGGAUGAGCCUAUGUCGGAUUAGCUAGUUGGUGAGGUAACGGCUCACCAAGGCCACGAUCCGUAGCUGGUCUGAGAGGAUGAUCAGCCACAUCGGGACUGAGACACGGCCCGAACUCCUACGGGAGGCAGCAGUGGGGAAUAUUGGACAAUGGGGGAAACCCUGAUCCAGCCAUGCCGCGUGUGUGAAGAAGGCCCUCGGGUUGUAAAGCACUUUCAGCGAGGAAGAACGCCUAACGGUUAAUACCCGCUAGGAAAGACAUCACUCGCAGAAGAGGCACCGGCUAACUCCGUGCCAGCAGCCGCGGUAAUACGGAGGGUGCAAGCGUUAAUCGGAAUUACUGGGCGUAAAGCGCGCGUAGGUGGCUUGAUAAGCCGGUUGUGAAAGCCCCGGGCUCAACCUGGGAACGGCAUCCGGAACUGUCAAGCUAGAGUGCAGGAGAGGAAGGUAGAAUUCCCGGUGUAGCGGUGAAAUGCGUAGAGAUCGGGAGGAAUACCAGUGGCGAAGGCGGCCUUCUGGACUGACACUGACACUGAGGUGCGAAAGCGUGGGUAGCAAACAGGAUUAGAUACCCUGGUAGUCCACGCCGUAAACGAUGUCGAC